RNAcentral lists this ribosomal RNA (747 nucleotides) under marine sediment metagenome. RNAcentral describes it as "LSU rRNA". It matches the Rfam family "Bacterial large subunit ribosomal RNA", at positions 294 to 998 of the family's 2925-position model. The record is from RNAcentral.
GGGGUUGUAAGACACAGGCAGGCCAAGCCGUGACGCGGCCGGGAAGUUACCAAACCCUGCUCUAGCAGAAGGACCCUGGAAAGGGCCGCCGUAGAGAGUGAAAGCCUCGUAUGCGAAGGGGCCAGGGUCUUCCUGACCUGUGUUCUUGAGUACCACGGGACACGAGAAAUCCCGUGGGAAGCCGGGGGGACCACCCUCCAAAGCUAAACACUUCCAGCAACCGAUAGUGCAGAAGUACCGUGAGGGAAAGGUGAAAAAGCACCCCGGGAGGGGAGUUAAAAGUCCCUGAAACCGCGUGCCUACAAACCGUCGGGGCCCCGAUUCGUCGGGGUGACGGCGUGCCUAUUGGAGAAUGAGCCGGCGAGUGAAUCUCAGUGGCGCGGUUAAGCAAGGAGACUUGCGGAGCCGCAGCGAAAGCGAGUCUGAACAGGGCGUUUCCUUCGGGAACGUCGCUGGGAUUCGGCCCGAAACCUGGUGAGCUACCCAUGGCCAGGGUGAAGCCUCGAUAAUAUCGAGGUGGAGGCCCGAACCAUUUGACGGUGCAAAGUCACUGGAUGAGCUGUGGGUAGAGGUGAAAUGCCAAUCGAACCAGGAGAUAGCUGGUUCUCCCCGAAAUGCAUUGAGGUGCAGCCUCAGGACAAGUCUCUUGGAGGUAGGGCACUGGAUGGGCUAGGGGGCAAAACGCUUACCAAACCCAACCAAACCACGAAUGCCAAGAGAUAUGCCUGGGAGUGAGCCCGUGGGGGA